Gallus gallus (chicken) is the source of this 862-nucleotide RNA transcript. It is a transcript of the gene named sterile alpha motif domain containing 15, with no coding region annotated. Lineage: Eukaryota; Metazoa; Chordata; Aves; Galliformes; Phasianidae. The transcript has 4 exons. The record is from RefSeq and is marked validated.
GGAAGGGAAAGCGGGGUGCGCUGCAGGAAGUGGCGGUUACCGGGGCGAUGGGACUCGGGGGGACGCGCGUCCGCCGAUGGGGCCGAGCCCGGAGCGGGGGCCCGCCCGCCCAGUCCUGGCCUGGGGGACCGCCGAGGUGGCAGAGUGGGUGUCGGGGCUCGGCUUCCCCCAGUACCAGGAGUGCUUCAGAGCCAACGGCAUCACCGGCCGCCGCCUCAUCCUGGUGAACUGCUCCAGCCUGCCGGCCAUGGGCAUCACAGACUUCAAACACAUGCAGUUGCUUUCCCCAGAGAACACGAGGUAGAAGUUCACAUAACCAGGGAGAGAGAAAAUCUCUGUGCCCCAGAGAUUUCACGACACGUGCGGGAGUUGCUGGGGAUUGAGGAGCCUGUCUUCAGCAGAUCCAUUGCCCUCCCAUACAGAGACAACAUGGGUCUCUUCCUGGAACAAAAGUCUCGAUCAGGACAGAAAGCAGAUGCCCUCACUUUCUCACAGUUUGUCCAAGAAGCAGGCCUAGAGCCCCGCUCUACCUUUGCUCCUUUCCAACAGGCACAGACUGGGGUAGAAAUAGAUGCUGUCCUUUUAUUGCAGAGCACACACACUCAGGAUUAGAGUCACACUGCAGUUCCACCUGUGUGAGAAGCCCACCUGGGAGAGCAGUAUACACCCUUAUUAGCUUGCUAUUUGUCCAGGAUGGUAUAGUUUCACAUUUUUCACAUUAUAUGAAAGGCUAUUGCAGCUCUUGGCCAUUUCAUGACAGCAAACACAUCCCUGCAUUGGCUCUUUUCUGUAAGAUUUUUUUCCAGUUCAUUUGCUUCCAGGAACUAAAUGAAGCAAAACAAAUAAAUCAGGUGCGACUUUA